UUGGUUCUUAUAAAAUGGAUUUGGUUUGGAUAGAUGAACCAAAACCAUUUCCAAACCAUAUAUUAAUAAAUGUGGUUAUGGUUUUAGUUUGAAUUUUGGGUAACUAGUUUAGUAAGUAAAAAUAAGUAUUAUAUCAUGAACAAAAGUUAAUACACUCAAAUCACAAUAUAAUAAAUACUAAAUAUAACAAAAGUAUGUGUGAGUGUGUGAGUUGAUGGAGUG
This 222-nucleotide long non-coding RNA is filed under the name Daucus carota (carrot). RNAcentral describes it as "long non-coding RNA (DCAR_LNC000076)". Lineage: Eukaryota; Viridiplantae; Streptophyta; Magnoliopsida; Apiales; Apiaceae. The record is from RNAcentral.